CUAACGUUUUCUAAUUCACGCAAGAUACGGAGCAGGCCUACAUCUUCGGCGGGGAAAACUUCCGUUGCGUGGUGAACGUCUAUUGUACUGUGCAUCUACGUCUACUACAAAGCACCAACGGAUUGAUUAAGAUAAUUUAUUCGACGUCGAUGAAACAUCAGCGGCGACCUCCUUGCCGUGGAAUUUACACCACGUUGUACCGGAGUAUUCCGUUCAGUUAGGGAAGAUUGGACGGCCUUUUGAUUUCAGCAUUGCACAGCAGAUGAUAAGACGAGGUGCAUCCGGCUUACCGUAGGUCAUACGCGUUCCGUUCAUCCCAUUGACGAUAACGUUAUAGCGAUCGUAACUGAUGGCAGCCAUUGUACAGAUGCUACACAAUCCGAAAAUAGAGCCGGUGCAGGCGUAUAAUUC
Daphnia carinata is the source of this 411-nucleotide long non-coding RNA. RefSeq lists it as uncharacterized. The transcript has 3 exons. The record is from RefSeq and is a predicted model, not a curated record. Lineage: Eukaryota; Metazoa; Arthropoda; Branchiopoda; Diplostraca; Daphniidae.